Molecule: transfer RNA, 60 nt
Filed under: Nylanderia flavipes
Lineage: Eukaryota; Metazoa; Arthropoda; Insecta; Hymenoptera; Formicidae
Description: tRNA-Ser
Source: RNAcentral
GAGAUAAUUUUAUUUGAACUUCUAAUUCAAAAUUUAAUGAAAAAAUUUCAUUUUAUCCCA